UCUGUUUUACAUUUUAAGUCUUGGUCUCAGUAGAAGAUGCGUCCCUGAAACGUGGCAGAGCACUGAAACUGUUUCCAGAUCACUCGUUUGCCCACGGAACUUCCUGCUGCUAAGAUUCAAAAACACGUUACCAAGUUCUGCUGCCCUAUGAAUGAAAAUGUGUUCUAAUAUUUUCAGAAUAAGCUGGUAGCCUGGCACUCGGAUCAAAGACUCAGUAACCAGAUGGGCUGUAUUUACUGAG
This is a long non-coding RNA of Nothoprocta perdicaria, 241 nucleotides long. RefSeq lists it as uncharacterized. The transcript has 3 exons. NCBI's taxonomy places the organism in Eukaryota, Metazoa, Chordata, Aves, Tinamiformes, Tinamidae. The record is from RefSeq and is a predicted model, not a curated record.